ACGGACAUUUCCAUUGAACGACAUCGAAUUACCCGCUACACACAAUGAAGGUGUUCCUGAUCAGUUAUCUUCUGAUAAUCGGCUUGAUUGUUAGUACUGUGAUGACUAGUGAAACAGCUGGUCUGAAAGGACGGAGUGAUAGUGAUUCUGGCCAACAUGCAGUCAGUGGAGAACGUCAAGUACGGAAUAUGGUCUGCCCCUAUAGAUUUGAACCCUGCAGACAUAAACCCACUGGCUGUUGUUUAAAGCGGGAGUUUUACCCUUGAGUCGUAGGGAGAUUAUAAACA
This is a long non-coding RNA of Patiria miniata (bat star), 287 nucleotides long. RefSeq lists it as uncharacterized. NCBI's taxonomy places the organism in Eukaryota, Metazoa, Echinodermata, Asteroidea, Valvatida, Asterinidae. The record is from RefSeq and is a predicted model, not a curated record. The transcript is spliced from 3 exons.